Molecule: ribosomal RNA, 372 nt
Filed under: uncultured bacterium
Lineage: Bacteria
Description: bacterial SSU rRNA
Rfam family: Bacterial small subunit ribosomal RNA
Source: RNAcentral
AUUGAACGCUGGCGGCAUGCCUUACACAUGCAAGUCGAACGGCAGCACGGGAGCAAUCCUGGUGGCGAGUGGCGAACGGGUGAGUAAUAUAUCGGAACGGUGCCCAGUCGUGGGGGAUAACGUAGCGAAAGCUACGCUAAUACCGCAUACGAUCUAUGGAUGAAAGCGGGGGGAUCGCAAGACCUCGCGCGAUUGGAGCGGCCGAUAUCAGAUUAGGUAGUUGGUGGGGUAAAGGCUCACCAAGCCAACGAUCUGUAGCUGGUCUGAGAGGACGACCAGCACACUGGGACUGAGACAGGCCCAGACUCCUACGGGAGGCAGCAGUGGGAAUUUUGGACAAUGGCGCAAGCCUGAUCCAGCAAUGCCGCGUGC